This 1394-nucleotide ribosomal RNA is filed under the name Mesastrape fulguraria. RNAcentral's name for it is "16S ribosomal RNA". Lineage: Eukaryota; Metazoa; Arthropoda; Insecta; Lepidoptera; Geometridae. The record is from RNAcentral.
UUUGAAAAAUUAAAUUAAUAAUAUAUAUAUAUAAUAAAAAUAAUUUUAAUUUAUUUAAUAAUUUAAUGGGGGUUAAAGUAUUAUUUAAAGAAAAAAUUUACAAUUUUAUAGUUAAUUAGUAUUGUGAAAGAAUUUUGAAAUAAUUGAAAAUUAAUUAAUUAAAAAGUAAUUUUUGUUUAAUGUAUCUUGUGUAUCAGAGUUUAUUAAAAAUUUUUAAUUUAUAUUUAAAUUCUCGAAUUUAAAAGAGUUAAAUAAUUAUAAAAGUUAUUGUAGCAAAAUUAUUUUAAAUAAUUAUUUUGAAAUGAAAUGUUAAUCGUUUUUAAAUAUAUCUAGUUUUUUUAGAAAAAAAUUUAAUUUUAAAUUUAUUUUAUUAAAAAAUUAAUUAAUUAAUUUUUUAAUAAAUAAAUUUUAUAUUUUAAGGGAUAAGCUUUAAAAAUUAAAUUUUUAUAAUAUUAAAAUUUUUUAAUUUAAAAAUUUUAUAAUUUAUAUUGUUAAUAAAUUUUAUUUUAUUAUAAAUAAUUUUAAAUUAAUUAAAAUUUAAAAAUUUUAUAUUUAAUUUUUUAUAAAAAAAAUAAUUUUUAAUAAUUUAAAAUUAAAGAUAAUGAUAAAAUUAGUAUAUUAUAUAAUGUCUAUUUAUAAUUUUAAUUUAAAUUUAUAUUAAUAAUUUAAUUAAUAAAAAGGAAUUCGGCAAAUAAUUAUUUUCACUUGUUUAUCAAAAACAUGUCUUUUUGAAAUUUAUUUAAAGUCUAAUCUGCCCACUGAUUAAAAUUAAAGGGCUGCAGUAUUUUGACUGUACAAAGGUAGCAUAAUCAUUAGUCUCUUAAUUGGUGACUUGUAUGAAAGAUUGGAUGAAAAAUAUACUGUCUCUUAAUUAAUUUAUAGAAUUUAAUUUUUUAUUUAAAAAGUUAAAAUAUGUUAAAAAGACGAGAAGACCCUAUAGAGUUUAAUAAAUAAUUUUAUAUUUGGUUAUUUAUAUUUUUAUUAAAAAUUUUUAUAAAAUUAUUUAUUUUAUUGGGGUGAUAAAAAAAUAAAUAAAACUUUUUUUAAAAAUUAACAUAAAUAAGUGAAUUAUUGAUCCAAUUAUAUUGAUUAAAAGAUUAAAUUACCUUAGGGAUAACAGCGUAAUUUUUUUUUUUAGUUCAUAUAAAAAAAAAAGUUUGCGACCUCGAUGUUGGAUUAAGAUAAAAUUUAAAUGCAAAAGUUUAAAAUUUUUGAUCUGUUCGAUCAUUAAAAUCUUACAUGAUCUGAGUUCAAACCGGUGUAAGCCAGGUUGGUUUCUAUCUUUUAAAUUAUUAAAUAUUUUAGUACGAAAGGAUUGAAUAUUUUAAUUAAAUUAUAAAUUGGAAAGAAUUUUAUUAAAUAAUUAAUAAAAUUUAUUUUAUAUAUUAUAAAUU